ACACACAGGGCCUCAGGCCCACAACAACACAUGCCUAUCCGAAGCCCACAAGAACCUAACCUAAGUCUAAUCAGUCAAACUCUAGCUCGAGUCCUAACUCCUCUGAAGUUUAAAUAAUUAUUUCUAAUACUUCAAAAAUUAUAAAAAUAUUUCUGGAGAUCCUCUACCUCAUCCUUGUAUUAAUUAAAUUCAUUUUACUUAAUUUUUCUAAGCCUAUAAUAUUUUACAGAUUAGUCAGGUUACUAAACCAAGGUAAAAAUAAUGUAACUUGAGUUUAGGACUACCUUUACAAAUUUUGCUA
Molecule: unclassified non-coding RNA, 301 nt
Filed under: Hevea brasiliensis (rubber tree)
Lineage: Eukaryota; Viridiplantae; Streptophyta; Magnoliopsida; Malpighiales; Euphorbiaceae
Source: RNAcentral